Molecule: ribosomal RNA, 253 nt
Filed under: uncultured bacterium
Lineage: Bacteria
Description: partial 16S ribosomal RNA
Rfam family: Bacterial small subunit ribosomal RNA
Source: RNAcentral
UACGAAGGGGGCUAGCGUUGCUCGGAAUUACUGGGCGUAAAGGGCGCGUAGGCGGAUACUUAAGUCAGGGGUGAAAUCCUGGAGCUCAACUCCAGAACUGCCUUUGAUACUGAGGAUCUUGAGUUCGGGAGAGGUGAGUGGAACUGCGAGUGUAGAGGUGAAAUUCGUAGAUAUUCGCAAGAACACCAGUGGCGAAGGCGGCUCACUGGCCCGAUACUGACGCUGAGGCACGAAAGCGUGGGGAGCAAACAGG